Molecule: ribosomal RNA, 460 nt
Filed under: uncultured bacterium
Lineage: Bacteria
Description: partial 16S ribosomal RNA
Rfam family: Bacterial small subunit ribosomal RNA
Source: RNAcentral
CCUACGGGAGGCUGCAGUGAGGAAUAUUGGUCAAUGGACGAGAGUCUGAACCAGCCAAGUAGCGUGAGGGAAGACGGUCCUAUGGAUUGUAAACCUCUUUAGGCGGGGAGCAAUGCCGGGCACGCGUGCCCGGAGGGAGAGUACCCGCAGAAUAAGCAUCGGCUAACUCCGUGCCAGCAGCCGCGGUAAUACGGAGGAUGCGAGCAUUAUCCGGAUUUAUUGGGUUUAAAGGGUGCGUAGGCGGAUUUUUAAGUCAGCGGUAAAAGGUCCGGGCUCAACCCGGGCCGGCCGUUGAAACUGGGGAUCUUGAGUGGGCGAGAAGUAUGCGGAAUGCGUGGUGUAGCGGUGAAAUGCAUAGAUAUCACGCAGAACUCCGAUUGCGAAGGCAGCAUACCGGCGCCCGACUGACGCUGAGGCACGAAAGCGUGGGGAUCGAACAGGAUUAGAUACCCGAGUAGUC